RNAcentral lists this ribosomal RNA (253 nucleotides) under uncultured bacterium. Its description in RNAcentral is "partial 16S ribosomal RNA". It matches the Rfam family "Bacterial small subunit ribosomal RNA", at positions 524 to 776 of the family's 1533-position model. The record is from RNAcentral.
UACGUAGGGGGCAAGCGUUGUCCGGAAUCAUUGGGCGUAAAGAGCGUGUAGGCGGCCAGAAAAGUCCGCUGUGAAAACUCGAGGCUCAACUUCGAGCUGUCGGUGGAAACUUUCUGGCUAGAGUCCGGAAGAGGAGAAUGGAAUUCCUGGUGUAGCGGUGAAAUGCGCAGAUAUCAGGAAGAACACCGGUGGCGAAGGCGGGAUCCUGGGCCAGUACUGACGCUGAGGAGCGAAAGCGUGGGGAGCAAACAGG